This 322-nucleotide ribosomal RNA is filed under the name uncultured eukaryote. Its description in RNAcentral is "partial 18S ribosomal RNA". It matches the Rfam family "Eukaryotic small subunit ribosomal RNA", at positions 1470 to 1796 of the family's 1831-position model. The record is from RNAcentral.
CCCUUAGAUGUUCUGGGCCGCACGCGUGCUAAACUGAGUAAAUCAAUGGGUAAGGGAACACGAAAGUGCAACCUAAUCUUGAAAUUUGCUCGUGAUGGGGAUCGACGGUUGCAAUUUUCCGUCGUGAACGAGGAAUACCUUGUAGGCGCGUGUCAUCAUCACGCGCCGAAUACGUCCCUGCCCUUUGUACACACCGCCCGUCGCUCCUACCGAUUGAGUGAUCCGGUGAGGCUCUGGGACCUGGACGGAAAGAGCGUUUCGCUUGUUCUGUUUGGGAAACUUGGUCGAACCUUAUCAUUUAGAGGAAGGAGAAGUCGUAACA